RNAcentral lists this ribosomal RNA (364 nucleotides) under uncultured eukaryote. RNAcentral's name for it is "partial 18S ribosomal RNA". It matches the Rfam family "Eukaryotic small subunit ribosomal RNA", at positions 592 to 976 of the family's 1831-position model. The record is from RNAcentral.
CAAUAGCGUAUAUUUAAGUUGUUGCAGUUAAAAAGCUCGUAGUCGGAUUUGGCUGAGAACGAUCGGUCCGCCGUUAGGUGUGCACUGAUUGGUCUCAGCUUCCUGGUGAGGAGGUGUGCUUCACGGCCACUUAGUCACCGUGGUUACUUUGAAAAAAUUAGAGUGUUCAAAGCGGGCUUACGCUUGAAUAUAUUAGCAUGGAAUAACACCAUAGGACUCCUGUCCUAUUUCGUUGGUCUCGGGACGGGAGUAAUGAUUAAGAGGAACAGUUGGGGGCAUUCGUAUUUCAUUGUCAGAGGUGAAAUUCUUGGAUUUAUGAAAGACGAACUUCUGCGAAAGCAUUUGCCAAGGAUGUUUUCAUUGA